GGUGGCUCAGUGGUAGAGUGCUUGCCUUGCAUGCAUGAGGUUCUGGGUUUGAUUACUCAGCACCA
RNAcentral lists this transfer RNA (65 nucleotides) under Dipodomys ordii (Ord's kangaroo rat). It matches the Rfam family "tRNA". Rfam says of the family: Transfer RNA (tRNA) molecules are approximately 80 nucleotides in length. The record is from Rfam by way of RNAcentral. Lineage: Eukaryota; Metazoa; Chordata; Mammalia; Rodentia; Heteromyidae.